AACGAACGCUGGCGGCAGGCCUAACACAUGCAAGUCGAACGGGCAUCGCAAGAUGUCAGUGGCAGACGGGUGAGUAACACGUGGGAACGUGCCCAUCGGUUCGGACUAACCCAGGGAAACUUGGGCUAAUGCCGGAUACGCCUUGGCGAGAGCUUGGGGAAAGAUUGAUUUGCCGAUGGAUCGGCCCGCGUCUGAUUAGCUAGUUGGUGGGGUAAUGGCUCACCAAGGCGACGAUCAGUAGCUGGUCUGAGAGGAUGAUCAGCCACACUGGGACUGAGACACGGCCCAGACUCCUACGGGAGGCAGCAGUGGGGAAUAUUGGACAAUGGGCGCAAGCCUGAUCCAGCCAUGCCGCGUGAGUGAUGAAGGCCCUAGGGUUGUAAAGCUCUUUCGCACGCGACGAUAAUGACGGUAGCGUGAGAAGAAGCCCCGGCUAACUUCGUGCCAGCAGCCGCCGUAACAC
This 463-nucleotide ribosomal RNA is filed under the name uncultured bacterium. Its description in RNAcentral is "bacterial SSU rRNA". It matches the Rfam family "Bacterial small subunit ribosomal RNA", at positions 29 to 526 of the family's 1533-position model. The record is from RNAcentral.